RNAcentral lists this ribosomal RNA (252 nucleotides) under uncultured bacterium. RNAcentral describes it as "partial 16S ribosomal RNA". It matches the Rfam family "Bacterial small subunit ribosomal RNA", at positions 524 to 776 of the family's 1533-position model. The record is from RNAcentral.
UACGAAGGGUGCAAGCGUUAUUCGGAAUUACUGGGCGUAAAGAGCGUGUCGGCGGUUUUUAAGUUAUCUGGUAAAGGGCUCGGCUCAACCGAGUACAUGCGGGUGAUACUGAAAAACUAGAGUACGAGAGAGAAGGGUAGAAUUCUCGGAGUAGCGGUAAAAUGCGUAGAUCUCGAGAGGAAUACCGGUUGCGAAGGCGGCCCUUUGGCUCGUAACUGACGCUUAAGCGCGAAAGCGUGGGGAGCAAACAGG